GAUGAAGAACGCAGCGAAAUGCGAUAAGUAAUGUGAAUUACAGAAUUCAGUGAAUCAUCGAAUCUUUGAACGCACCUUGCGCCCUUUGGCCAUUCCGAAGGGCAUGCCUGUUUGAGUAUCAUGAACACCUCAACUCUUCAUGGUUUUCCAUGAUGAGCUUGGACUUUGGGGGUCUUGCUGGCCUGUGGGUCGGCUCCUCUCAAAUGAAUCAGCUUGCCGGUUUUUGGUGGGCAUCACAGGUGUGAUAACUAUCUACGCUUGUGGUUUUCCACCAGGGUAACCUUCAGCAGUGGAGGUUCACUGGAGCUUACAAAUGUCUCUCCUCUGUGAGGACAGCCCUUUGAAUGUUUGAUCUCAAAUCAGGUAGGACUACCCGCUGAACUUAAGCAUAUCAAUAAGCGGAGGA
RNAcentral lists this unclassified non-coding RNA (406 nucleotides) under soil metagenome. Its description in RNAcentral is "partial contains 5.8S ribosomal RNA, internal transcribed spacer 2, and large subunit ribosomal RNA". The stretch from base 1 to 121 matches the Rfam family "5.8S ribosomal RNA", at positions 35 to 154 of the family's 154-position model. The record is from RNAcentral.